RNAcentral lists this long non-coding RNA (226 nucleotides) under Portunus trituberculatus (swimming crab). RNAcentral describes it as "uncharacterized LOC123506711". The record is from RNAcentral. Lineage: Eukaryota; Metazoa; Arthropoda; Malacostraca; Decapoda; Portunidae.
GAAGAAGAAGAAGGAGAAGAUCCGCCAUUGUUAGCUCUGUUUUGAGAUUUACAGUUUUGAACAUUUGUGGAGCAGAGGUGCACCAUGGCUUGCCACAAUGUCACAAUGGGUUCUUGGAGAGCCGCUGCUGUUGACUUGCUGCAUGUCUCCUCUCUGCGGCAAAACUCCACAAAUACUCCACUCACCAAGUUCCAGAGGAGAGGAUCACCAGACACCACCGGCCGUA